GAUGAACGCUGGCGGCGUGCUUAACACAUGCAAGUCGAACGGAAAGGCCCAAGCUUGCUUGGGUACUCGAGUGGCGAACGGGUGAGUAACACGUGGGUGAUCUGCCCUGCACUUCGGGAUAAGCCUGGGAAACUGGGUCUAAUACUGGAUAGGACCACUUCUUGGAUGGUGUGGUGGAAAGUUUUUUCGGUGUGGGAUGAGCUCGCGGCCUAUCAGCUUGUUGGUGGGGUACUGGCCUACCAAGGCGUCGACGGGUAGCCGGCCCGAGAGGGUGUACGGCCACAUUGGAACUGAGAGACGGACCAGAGUCCGAAGGGGGGCAGAAGGGGGGAAUAUUGCACAAUGGGCGCAAGCCUGAUGCAGCGAGGCCGCGUGGGGGAUGACGGCCUUCGGGUUGUAAACUCCUUUCGCUAGGGACGAAGCGUUUUUGUGACGGUACCUGGAGAAGAAGCACCGGCUAACUACGUG
RNAcentral lists this ribosomal RNA (468 nucleotides) under uncultured bacterium. RNAcentral's name for it is "partial 16S ribosomal RNA". It matches the Rfam family "Bacterial small subunit ribosomal RNA", at positions 28 to 507 of the family's 1533-position model. The record is from RNAcentral.